GCCGAAGUGGCGAAAUCGGUAGACGCAGUUGAUUCAAAAUCAACCGUAGAAAUACGUGCCGGUUCGAGUCCGGCCUUCGGCACCAAAAGUAU
This 92-nucleotide transfer RNA is filed under the name Escherichia coli. RNAcentral's name for it is "tRNA-Leu". The stretch from base 1 to 82 matches the Rfam family "tRNA". Rfam says of the family: Transfer RNA (tRNA) molecules are approximately 80 nucleotides in length. Their secondary structure includes four short double-helical elements and three loops (D, anti-codon, and T loops). Lineage: Bacteria; Pseudomonadati; Pseudomonadota; Gammaproteobacteria; Enterobacterales; Enterobacteriaceae. The record is from RNAcentral.